Molecule: ribosomal RNA, 415 nt
Filed under: uncultured bacterium
Lineage: Bacteria
Description: partial 16S ribosomal RNA
Rfam family: Bacterial small subunit ribosomal RNA
Source: RNAcentral
UGGGGAAUAUUGCACAAUGGGCGCAAGCCUGAUGCAGCCAUGCCGCGUGUGUGAAGAAGGCCUUCGGGUUGUAAAGCACUUUCAGCGAGGAGGAAGGGUUCAGUGUUAAUAGCACUGUUCAUUGACGUUACUCGCAGAAGAAGCACCGGCUAACUCCGUGCCAGCAGCCGCGGUAAUACGGAGGGUGCAAGCGUUAAUCGGAAUUACUGGGCGUAAAGCGCACGCAGGCGGUUUGUUAAGUCAGAUGUGAAAUCCCCGCGCUUAACGUGGAACUGCAUUUGAAACUGGCAAGCUAGAGUCUUGUAGAGGGGGGUAGAAUUCCAGGUGUAGCGGUGAAAUGCGUAGAGAUCUGGAGGAAUACCGGUGGCGAAGGCGGCCCCCCUGGACAAAGACUGACGCUCAGGUGCGAAAGCGU